This 958-nucleotide ribosomal RNA is filed under the name Phocaeicola vulgatus. RNAcentral's name for it is "partial 16S ribosomal RNA". The record is from RNAcentral. Lineage: Bacteria; Pseudomonadati; Bacteroidota; Bacteroidia; Bacteroidales; Bacteroidaceae.
GAUUUGACGUCAUCCCCACCUUCCUCACAUCUUACGAUGGCAGUCUUGUCAGAGUCCUCAGCAGAACCUGUUAGUAACUGACAACAAGGGUUGCGCUCGUUAUGGCACUUAAGCCGACACCUCACGGCACGAGCUGACGACAACCAUGCAGCACCUUCACAGAUGCCUUGCGGCUUACGGCUUUCACCGUAAUUCAUCUGCAAUUUAAGCCCGGGUAAGGUUCCUCGCGUAUCAUCGAAUUAAACCACAUGUUCCUCCGCUUGUGCGGGCCCCCGUCAAUUCCUUUGAGUUUCACCGUUGCCGGCGUACUCCCCAGGUGGAAUACUUAACGCUUUCGCUUGGCCGCUUGCCGUAUAUCGCAAACAGCGAGUAUUCAUCGUUUACCGUGUGGACUACCAGGGUAUCUAAUCCUGUUUGAUACCCACACUUUCGAGCCUCAAUGUCAGUUGCAGCUUAGCAGGCUGCCUUCGCAAUCGGAGUUCUUCGUGAUAUCUAAGCAUUUCACCGCUACACCACGAAUUCCGCCUGCCUCAACUGCACUCAAGAUAUCCAGUAUCAACUGCAAUUUUACGGUUGAGCCGCAAACUUUCACAACUGACUUAAACAUCCAUCUACGCUCCCUUUAAACCCAAUAAAUCCGGAUAACGCUCGGAUCCUCCGUAUUACCGCGGCUGCUGGCACGGAGUUAGCCGAUCCUUAUUCAUAAAGUACAUGCAAACGGGUAUGCAUACCCGACUUUAUUCCUUUAUAAAAGAAGUUUACAACCCAUAGGGCAGUCAUCCUUCACGCUACUUGGCUGGUUCAGGCUCUCGCCCAUUGACCAAUAUUCCUCACUGCUGCCUCCCGUAGGAGUUUGGACCGUGUCUCAGUUCCAAUGUGGGGGACCUUCCUCUCAGAACCCCUAUCCAUCGAAGACUAGGUGGGCCGUUACCCCGCCUACUAUCUAAUGGAACGCAUC